GCAACUUUAGCUCAGUUGGGAGAGCGUCAGACUGAAGUCAAACUUCAUCAAAGGAAUCUUGUCCCAAGGUCCAUCUGAAGGUCGCUUGUUCGAUCCAGGCAAGUUGCA
This is a non-coding RNA of Podospora conica, 108 nucleotides long. The record is from the annotation of a GenBank genome assembly. NCBI's taxonomy places the organism in Eukaryota, Fungi, Ascomycota, Sordariomycetes, Sordariales, Podosporaceae.